RNAcentral lists this long non-coding RNA (294 nucleotides) under Mytilus galloprovincialis (Mediterranean mussel). Lineage: Eukaryota; Metazoa; Mollusca; Bivalvia; Mytilida; Mytilidae. The record is from RNAcentral.
GGGGGGGGGGAGGACUCAAGAUAACAAGUGGAGACAACCUCUGAAUAGAAUUAGUAAGUUUAGUCCCAGGGUAUUGAUUCUCCUCCAACAUGCGUAGGUUUGUUUUGCAAGAUCUCUAUCCCUAUCAAAUACUUUUCAUUUAUCAUUUAUCAUCAAAUUUCGAAAUCAAAUAUUAGCCCUUGAUUUACAUAUUGAUCAUACUGCAUGCAGAUUGUUUAUACUCUUCAGGUCACGAAAAAAAAAGGAAAAACAACAAGAAAAAAUUACUUUCGGAAUUUAAAGUCCAUAAUGCUC